RNAcentral lists this ribosomal RNA (253 nucleotides) under uncultured bacterium. RNAcentral describes it as "partial 16S ribosomal RNA". It matches the Rfam family "Bacterial small subunit ribosomal RNA", at positions 524 to 776 of the family's 1533-position model. The record is from RNAcentral.
UACGUAGGCAGCGAGCGUUGUUCGGAGUUACUGGGCGUAAAGGGUGUGUAGGCGGUUCUUUAAGUUUGGUGUGAAAUCUCCCGGCUCAACCGGGAGGGUGCGCCGAAUACUGAGGGACUAGAGUGCGGGAGAGGAAAGUGGAAUUCCUGGUGUAGCGGUGAAAUGCGUAGAUACUGGGAGGAACACCGGUGGCGAAGGCGGCUACCUGGACCGGAACUGACGCUGAGGCGCGAAAGCGUGGGUAGCAAACAGG